Molecule: transfer RNA, 77 nt
Filed under: Dehalococcoidia bacterium
Lineage: Bacteria; Bacillati; Chloroflexota; Dehalococcoidia
Description: tRNA-Arg
Rfam family: tRNA
About the family: Transfer RNA (tRNA) molecules are approximately 80 nucleotides in length. Their secondary structure includes four short double-helical elements and three loops (D, anti-codon, and T loops).
Source: RNAcentral
GCCUCAGUAGCUCAGCUGGAUAGAGCGGCGGCGUCCUAAGCCGCGCGUCGGGGGUUCGAGUCCCUCCUGGGGCGCCA